CCUACGGGAGGCAGCAGUAGGGAAUCUUCCACAAUGGGCGAAAGCCUGAUGCAGCAACGCCGCGUGGGUGAAGAAGGUCUUCGGAUUGUAAAACCCUGUUGUUAGAGAAGAAAGUGCGUGAGAGUAACUGUUCACGUUUCGACGGUAUCUAACCAGAAAGCCACGGCUAACUACGUGCGAGCAGCUGCGGUAAUACGUAGGGGGCAAGCGUUAUCCGGAUUUAUUGGGCGUAAAGGGAGUGCAGGUGGUAUUGUAAGUCAGAUGUGAAAGGCUUGGGCUUAACCGUAGUAGUGGUGUGGAAACUGGAAGGCUUGAGUGCAGGAGAGGAGAGUGGAACUCCAGGUGUAGCGGUGAAAUGCGUAGAUAUCAGGAAGAACACCGGUGGCGAAGGCGGCUCUCUGGACUGUAACUGACGCUGAGGUUCGAAAGCGUGGGUAGCAAACAGGAUUAGAUACCCUUGUAGUC
RNAcentral lists this ribosomal RNA (465 nucleotides) under uncultured bacterium. RNAcentral's name for it is "partial 16S ribosomal RNA". It matches the Rfam family "Bacterial small subunit ribosomal RNA", at positions 338 to 795 of the family's 1533-position model. The record is from RNAcentral.